UGGGGAAUAUUGCGCAAUGGGGGCAACCCUGACGCAGCAACGCCGCGUGAUUGAAGAAGGCCUUCGGGUUGUAAAGAUCUUUAAUCAGGGACGAAAUUUGACGGUACCUGACUAAGAAGCCCCGGCUAACUACGUGCCAGCAGCCGCGGUAAUACGUAGGGGACAAGCGUUAUCCGGAUUUACUGGGUGUAAAGGGAGCGUAGACGGAGCAGCAAGUCUGAUGUGAAAGGCAGGGGCUCAACCCCUGGACUGCAUUGGAAACUGUUGAUCUUGAGUACCGGAGGGGUAAGCGGAAUUCCUAGUGUAGCGGUGAAAUGCGUAGAUAUUAGGAGGAACACCAGUGGCGAAGGCGGCUUACUGGACGGUAACUGACGUUGAGGCUCGAAAGCGUGGGGAGCAAACAGGAUUAGAUACC
RNAcentral lists this ribosomal RNA (415 nucleotides) under uncultured bacterium. RNAcentral describes it as "bacterial SSU rRNA". It matches the Rfam family "Bacterial small subunit ribosomal RNA", at positions 355 to 786 of the family's 1533-position model. The record is from RNAcentral.